This 253-nucleotide ribosomal RNA is filed under the name uncultured bacterium. RNAcentral's name for it is "partial 16S ribosomal RNA". It matches the Rfam family "Bacterial small subunit ribosomal RNA", at positions 524 to 776 of the family's 1533-position model. The record is from RNAcentral.
UACGAAGGGGGCUAGCGUUGCUCGGAAUCACUGGGCGUAAAGGGUGCGUAGGCGGGUCUUUAAGUCGGGGGUGAAAUCCUGGAGCUUAACUCCGGAGGGUCGGUGGAUACUGCCAGUCUUGAAGGUGCUAGGGGGAGAUGGAAUUACCGGUGUAGCGGUGAAAUGCGUAGAUAUCGGUAGGAACACCAGUGGCGAAGGCGGUCUCCUGGGGCAUUCUUGACGCUGAGGCGCGAAAGCUGGGGGAGCAAACGGG